RNAcentral lists this ribosomal RNA (253 nucleotides) under uncultured bacterium. RNAcentral describes it as "partial 16S ribosomal RNA". It matches the Rfam family "Bacterial small subunit ribosomal RNA", at positions 524 to 776 of the family's 1533-position model. The record is from RNAcentral.
UACGUAGGGAGCAAGCGUUGUCCGGAAUCAUUGGGCGUAAAGCGCGCGUAGGCGGCCCGGUCAGUCCGUCGUGAAAGUCAAAGGCUCAACCUUUGAAUGUCGAUGGAUACUGCCGGGCUAGAGUCCGGAAGAGGCGAGUGGAAUUCCUGGUGUAGCGGUGGAAUGCGCAGAUAUCAGGAGGAACACCAAUGGCGAAGGCAGCUCGCUGGGACGUGACUGACGCUGAGACGCGAAAGCCAGGGGAGCGAACGGG